UUUAGCAACACUGAUAUCAGAGUUAAUCAAAAGCCUUAACAAAAUUUAAGCCAAAGGAAAGAAGGGGCUAUUUUACCAUUUUUCAAUUUUUUUGGUUAUUUGUAACGAAUUGACAGUCACCAAUGGCUGUAAUAUUGUUAUUAGGGAUGUAUUUUUGAUGGUCAGGAGAAGGAAAACUACAAUUUUUUUAGAUGCUAAGGAGACAACUCCUGUACUGGAGAUGAAGAGAAUGAUAGAGGGAAUUACAAAAGUUU
This 254-nucleotide unclassified non-coding RNA is filed under the name Limulus polyphemus (Atlantic horseshoe crab). Its description in RNAcentral is "uncharacterized LOC111087810, transcript variant X1". Lineage: Eukaryota; Metazoa; Arthropoda; Merostomata; Xiphosura; Limulidae. The record is from RNAcentral.